GACGAACGCUGGCGGCGUGCUUAACACAUGCAAGUCGAACGGAAAGGCCCUGCUUUUGUGGGGUGCUCGAGUGGCGAACGGGUGAGUAACACGGGAGUAACCUGCCCUUGACUUUGGGAUAACUUCAGGAAACUGGGGCUAAUACCGGAUAGGAGCUCCUGCUGCAUGGUGGGGGUUGGAAAGUUUCGGCGGUUGGGGAUGGACUCGCGGCUUAUCAGCUUGUUGGUGGGGUAGUGGCUUACCAAGGCUUUGACGGGUAGCCGGCCUGAGAGGGUGACCGGCCACAUUGGGACUGAGAGACGGCCCAGACUCCUACGGGAGGCAGCAGUGGGGAAUAUUGCACAAUGGGCGGAAGCCUGAUGCAGCAACGCCGCGUGCGGGAUGACGGCCUUCGGGUUGUAAACCGCUUUCGCCUGUGACGAAGCGUGAGUGACGGUAAUGGGUAAAGAAGCACCGGCUAACUACGUG
Molecule: ribosomal RNA, 468 nt
Filed under: uncultured bacterium
Lineage: Bacteria
Description: partial 16S ribosomal RNA
Rfam family: Bacterial small subunit ribosomal RNA
Source: RNAcentral